AUUGAACGCUGGCGGCAGGCCUAACACAUGCAAGUCGAACGGUAACAGGAAGCAGCUUGCUGCUUCGCUGACGAGUGGCGGACGGGUGAGUAAUGUCUGGGAAGCUGCCUGAUGGAGGGGGAUAACUACUGGAAACGGUAGCUAAUACCGCAUAAUGUCGCAAGACCAAAGAGGGGGACCUUCGGGCCUCUUGCCAUCGGAUGUGCCCAGAUGGGAUUAGCUUGUUGGUGGGGUAACGGCUCACCAAGGCGACGAUCCCUAGCUGGUCUGAGAGGAUGACCAGCCACACUGGAACUGAGACACGGUCCAGACUCCUACGGGAGGCAGCAGUGGGGAAUAUUGCACAAUGGGCGCAAGCCUGAUGCAGCCAUGCCGCGUGUAUGAAGAAGGCCUUCGGGUUGUAAAGUACUUUCAGCGGGGAGGAAGGGAGUAAAGUUAAUACCUUUGCUCAUUGACGUUACCCGCAGAAGAAGCACCGGCUAACUCCGUGCCAGCAGCCGCGGUAAUACGGAGGGUGCAAGCGUUAAUCGGAAUUACUGGGCGUAAAGCGCACGCAGGCGGUUUGUUAAGUCAGAUGUGAAAUCCCCGGGCUCAACCUGGGAACUGCAUCUGAUACUGGCAAGCUUGAGUCUCGUAGAGGGGGGUAGAAUUCCAGGUGUAGCGGUGAAAUGCGUAGAGAUCUGGAGGAAUACCGGUGGCGAAGGCGGCCCCCUGGACGAAGACUGACGCUCAGGUGCGAAAGCGUGGGGAGCAAACAGGG
Molecule: ribosomal RNA, 760 nt
Filed under: uncultured Enterobacteriaceae bacterium
Lineage: Bacteria; Pseudomonadati; Pseudomonadota; Gammaproteobacteria; Enterobacterales; Enterobacteriaceae
Description: bacterial SSU rRNA
Rfam family: Bacterial small subunit ribosomal RNA
Source: RNAcentral